This 450-nucleotide ribosomal RNA is filed under the name uncultured bacterium. Its description in RNAcentral is "partial 16S ribosomal RNA". It matches the Rfam family "Bacterial small subunit ribosomal RNA", at positions 338 to 795 of the family's 1533-position model. The record is from RNAcentral.
CCUACGGGUGGCUGCAGUGGGGAAUUUUGGACAAUGGGGGCAACCCUGAUCCAGCCAUUCCGCGUGAGUGAAGAAGGCCUUCGGGUUGUAAAGCUCUUUCGCAAGGGAAGAAAACUUACUCAAUAACACUGGGUGAGGCUGACGGUACCUUGAUAAGAAGCACCGGCUAACUACGUGCCAGCAGCCGCGGUAAUACGUAGGGUGCGAGCUGGACGCGGAAUUACCGGGCGUGGUGUGGGCGGUGGGGGGUGAAAUCCCCGGGCUCAACCUGGGAACUGCGUUUGAAACUACAAGGCUAGAGUAUGGCAGAGGGGGGUAGAAUUCCACGUGUAGCAGUGAAAUGCGUAGAGAUGUGGAGGAAUACCAAUGGCGAAGGCAGCCCCCUGGGUCAAUACUGACGCUCAUGCACGAAAGCGUGGGGAGCAAACAGGAUUAGAUACCCCUGUAGUC